This 5863-nucleotide long non-coding RNA is filed under the name Capsicum annuum. RNAcentral's name for it is "long non-coding RNA (CANN_LNC012551)". Lineage: Eukaryota; Viridiplantae; Streptophyta; Magnoliopsida; Solanales; Solanaceae. The record is from RNAcentral.
UCACUCCUACUCUCUCUAUCUUCUCUCUAUCUUUAUCUCUUUCCCCCUCAAUAACCAUGGCAGCCGCCACCAUCUUCCGCCACCCCAAACUGGGGAACUCCAUCGAUGUCACCGCUUCUCUCAGGCGAACUUAUCUCUGCCACCAACAUGCGGCCGACUAGCCAGAUCCGCCAGACCACUAGUGCCAUCAAUGGUAAAAACAACGAUGGCUAGUCUUCCCAAGCUAUCAAAUCUCUCCAGUAAAAAGCCAUGGCCGCCGUCCUCUUUUCUUCAGCAUCGCCGGUUGCCGCUGUGCAAAACGCCAUGCAGUCAGUAAGAACAGUCCAACCACCAUCCACGGUGACAAUGUCGUCGCCCCGUGACUCAGUCCACCACCUCCAUCUCCUUCGAUCUAUUCUCCCAAUCACCUAGAUCUGCUCUUCCACCAACACUGCCAGUCGCCACCACUGCCCAUUUCAGAAAACGAUGGGUCUCAGAAACCCAUCCACAGGUUUAACCCAAGUAUUUAGAUAUCUGUGUUUAAUUUUAUACUAAUUCUUCUUCUUUUUUUCUUUGAAAAAUUUUGGAUUCGAAAUUAACAAAGUAUGAUUGAUCUCUUUGUCUGAUUCUCUGCUAUUUGAGUUUGUUUAUGUGAUAAGACUAUUAUAUGUAAAAAGCCCCAAAUUCCAUGUCUAGGUGCUACUUUUUGAGAUUCUUGGUUGAAGUAUUUAUUUUUUUCAGUAUCAUGUUACUACUUACUGACUUUUAGCAUGUCUCUCUUUCAGUUUGACAUAUUUUGGUUAAUUAGUUAAUUCGGGAUUGCUACAAUCAAUAUGUUAUAUGACGUAGAGGUUAGCCUGUCUUUUAGUGAACUCCUUGAUUUCAUUAUUCCUUCACUUAUUCGCCUUCAUUUGGUAAACUUGACUCAUCUCACUUUAAUUAUGAUGAUUGUUAUCGUGACAGAUUCUGGUUGGUUAUACAUGUUGUUGAUUAAUCGUUUUUCUAAAUAUUAGCUUUUUCUUUUAUUUUCUUGGGGAUGAAUUUUGACAUAAUUGAUUAUAGCAUUUUGUUUGAGGAAACUUAAUAGCCUUGAUUGACUUAUCAAAUAUUCUCUUAUUUCUUUGGCUGAACUUUACAAGAUUUCAUACUCUUAAUUGUGUUAGUUGAAAAAGGAAAUUGGAGGGAUUGAUUUUUCUUUGAUUGAAUAUUAUUAGUUAAUUAAUUUUAUGUUUAGAGAAAAUAUCCUUGACUGAUUGCAUUGAAUAUUUAUUUUUCUUUUAUUUCCUUGACUGAACUUUGCCUAAUCUGUCAUUAUUGUUUGAUACAAGUGUUUAUGGUAAAUUUGUUCUUUUUAUAUCCUAAAAUUGAUUCAAUCUUUUUCUAAUUAAAGAAAAUAUUCUGACUGAUUGUUAAAAUAUUCUCCUUCUCCAUGAUUGAUUCUGAUUGAUUUUAAAAUAUUUCUUCCUUUUAUCCUAUGGACCCCUUUGCUAUAUAAACAACCCCCAUCCUCAUUCCCAAGGACAAGCCAUUUACAACUUACGCUCUCUCACACGAAAACUUUAAACAAAUAAAUAAUUUUAUUUUAUUAUUUCUGUACUUAUCUUUGGAGCAUUAAUCUUGAGCUUUUGGUGGAAAUUCAUUCUCGAAUCGCAUGCAUCCUUGGUUUUCUUUUUAUUAUUAUUUGUUGUCAUCGACCGGUAAGUCACUAAUCGAUGCAUUCUUUUCUUAUCCCAUAAUAUUUGUGAUGGCAAAACAUAGAAAACAUGUCUAUAGGAACUAGUGUGAACGAUGAUGUUGUGCUUGGUUGUGAUGUCUUUGUGCUUUUGUUUAAGACAACAUGUUCGUAUGUUCGAGUGUUCCUUUUUGUGCUUGCCCUGCUCUUUUGCUCGGAUUUGACAGGUACUAAGCAACAUUGGAAAAGUUGUCAGGGUUUUGGGAUGGGUGUUGUUUAUUUCUCAUUAGUCUACCAUUCUCUUUUAUUAGUCUUUUGUUAGCCAUGAGCCUGUAAUAUUAUUGUACAAACACUAUUGAUGUAAUAAUAAAUUUUGGGAAUUGCUUCGGGGGUGGAGAUUUAUGUGCUCUAUGAAUCACAUAGGCUAACACAACUUAGGUAUACAUGCUCUAUAUGUUAUGUGAAUCACCUAGGUAAACAUAAUUUAGGAUUCAUUAAUUAAAUUGUCGAUCACUUAGAAAUCCUGAUUUUAGGAGUUUAACUGAUUUUGCAUAAUUAUAAUUUCUUGCAACGCUUGUUUCUUUCGGCAUGUUUAAUGAAAUUUGGCAUAUUACGAAUGACAUUUUUUUGCAUCUUUUUAAUUUUACAACGUUCAAGCAACAUUUUUAAACUCACUAGCUAAAUCUCCUACAUUUUAAAGUGAAAUCUAGUGCAUUAAAUCAUUCUCUGGUGCAUAAAAUGAUUGAUUGCAGUAUGUGUCUCGCAUGGUAAAGUCAUUGUCGACACAUGUUAAGUUCUUGCAUAUCGUCGCGUGGUUUUCAACGUACCAACGGUGUCUAAGCAUGAUAAUUUUGUGAGCAUGUUAACAAUUAAACUUGAGUACGUUUUUGCAUGUUAAAACAAAUUUUAGCAUUAUUAGAGUACAUUUCUGCACGUUAAAAUAAAUUUCAGCAUUAUUAGUGUAAGUUUCUGCACAUUAAAACAAAUUUCAGCAUUAUUAGCGUAUGUUUUUGCACAUUAAAAUAAAUUUCAGCAUUAUUAGGGCAUGUUUCUGCACAUUAAAAUAAAUUUCAGCAUUUUAAAACUACUUUCAGCAUGUUAGUAUUAAAAUUUAAACAUGUUAACAUUAAAUUCCUGCACUAUUAACAUAUUUUUAGCAUGUUAGAAUAUUAAAUGCGAGGCAUUUUUAGUAUGUUAUUGUAUUAUAUUCCUGCACACUAAUACAACUGCCAGCAUGUUAAAAAGUAGGUUUUUAAGCAUUUUUAACAUAUUAAACACUAGAUUAAGUACAUCAUUAUGUACCUUAGCAUGUUGAUGUAUUUUCAAUAUUGUGUUUAUUUCUUACACUCUCAUUAGUUUAUAACACUUGCACAAUGAAAGUCGGUCAAUUGGUCGGAUGAUGAUUAAACAAGUUGGGGUUCUGAUCCGAAUGUGACCGAAAACAUUUUUUUGUUUGAUUUGAUGAAUUCUUUUUUUAUUUUUUAUUUACUUUACAUGCUUAUUUAUUUGGGGUAGUUAGUUUAGUACAUAAGCAGUCCCCUUCUGUUAUAAAUUAUGUCAUUUCUUUCUCCUCGUUUAUCCUAUUAUAUAUUUUUAUCACUUAGAUAAUUAACAAUUUGAAAUAAUAAGAUAAUAUGUUUUGUUCAUUAAUUGUUUUAUCACUUAGUUAAAUAUUAAAUUAAUAAUAAAAUAAGAGAUCUUAUUUGAUCACAUAGAAUCCUCACGUAAAAUAUAAAUUCGGCCGGGAACCACCUUUGUGGACCUCGAAAGGUGCCUAACACCUUCCUUCUGAAGUAAUUUGAACCCUUACCCGAAUCUUUGUUGAAUUAAGACAAAACAACAAAAUAGGUUCGUAGUAGCCUAGAUCGAUGUCCUAACACACCUUAAUUCAUUAGGUGGCAACUCUUCAUACUCUACCCUUAAAGAAUCUCAAAAAGAGUGGUCACGUCGAAUCUCGCUUUGCUGGGAUCUUUGGUUCUAACCAUUACAAAUUUGUGCUUUAUGUGGGAUUCUCUCCAUUUGUUUUGAUAAUGUUUAAUCUCCUGAUUUAUUUUCUAUAUGUUCUUCUUUUAGCGUUUGAUUACAUCAUGAUUUAUUAGUCCUUUCUCCUUUUCACUUUAUGUGUUAUUUACAUUUCUCCAUGUUCAUUUCUUUUCCUUUUUCCCUAUUUAUUGUUUAUGCAUUAUUAUGUUCAUUUAUACGUAUGUUGUUUAGCAUGUUAUAUUUCACUAUGUGAUAUGUGUUAUUGCUUUUUAUAAUUGGCAUUUCGCUCAUACUUUCCUCUGCUUGGAACCUCCUUUAUUUUUUUUUACGGACGGUUGCAUGGUUAUACGGACGUUCUUUCCUAAAGCACCCUUUGAAAAAUGUCUUGUGGAUCGGUUGAUCAGCGUUGUGUCGACAGUCACAAGCUUUCCCACUCUCGAGUUGUCCACUUGAGUUCUACCAUGUCACAAACCCACUUUUGUCCUUUUUAUUUUGGCUACAUAUUUCUUUUAUUAAGAAAUAUGUGUCCCAUUCAAUGCAGGAUGCCUUGGCAUCCUUGACGCAUUGAAUGUUAGUCUCAUUCAAAGUCCAAAGAGGUUCAUGACCUCAAAGGGACUCAUAAUUACUUGCUAUAUAUUGCAUUUCUAUGUAUGUAUUGACAUGUGCCUAUCUUGUUGUUAGUCACUCCUUACAUUUAGUGUUCCUCACUUUAGAGCUCGUUACUCUUAAAAUUCUUGUCAUGUUAGGUCCUUACAAUACACUCUUAGGGCCUAUUCAAAAUUCCCUAAUUCAUCCCAACCUGCUAUUCAAUUUUUAUAACUCUCAAAAUUUUGAACUACGUCUGACCUGAUUCUUGUUUCAAUAAGAUACGUAGGCAAUCCCUUUGUAAGGAUGCAAUCUUCCUUUUCCCUUUUUUUAUAAAACGUCCUAAUAUUUGAAAAUAUGAACCAAUCAUUAUCAUUCCAACAAUUUUUCUAUCAAAUCAUAUCCUCCAUAUCUUUCACCUUUCCAUAAUGCCAUAAGGGUGCAACUUAGAAGUUUUUUUAUUCAAAUGAUUUUUCACAAUCUUUCAAACUCUCAAACAUUUCAAACUAAAUACUUCAAAAUGUUCAAAACUUUGUGAAUCUUUAAUUCUUCCAUUUAUUCAAAAUAAUUUCUUUAAACAUUAUAUCCCUGCAAUAUUUUAUCAUUAUUCACUUGUUCACUUAAUCAGCUUCAAGUAUGAAUUUAGUAUCUAAGUCUUUGUGAGAAUCUAUCUUCCAUCUUGUGAUGUCAAUUUAUUUUUCAACCUUAAAAUUCUAACCCACCCAUUCGUCCUAAAGUCCUCCUUGACAAAAUGACUCAUAUCGACAUACUAUCUCUUUUCACAUUGAGCACACUGAUACUUAUUUUGUUUAGUUUAUUAUUUAAAGGUUGUCUAGCGUUUGAACAUCGACUCGAUUGAAAAUCUGCAAUGUGACCAAUAUGCUCAAUAUCCGGAAAGAUUACAUCCUGUUUUUCUCUCACUCAAGGUAAAACUCUGUUUAGACGGAACCUCUUUAUUCUCGCGUUAUUCAUGUACCCUCUCAACAAUUUCCUUCUACAUUCACCACUCUUGAAAAUGGGAGACACCGUUAGUCUACAUUUAUUCACCUUAUGAAUAAAUAAUAUUUUCUAUCUUAUCUACCUUUCUUUUUACUCACGAACAACAUUCGACCUAACUUUCAUUCGGAGGCAGCCCACUCUAGGUCCGGUCUUAAUCUAAUAAAAAAUUUUCUCUCCCCACUUUCUUUCAAUUCUUACAAUUCCAAAAUGACAGGCUAAUAGACCCAACUCUUGAGCAUAUAAAGGCAGAUUACAAUUGAGGUUGCAAUAUUCAAAUGUAGGACAACCAUUUCUCUUAGAAUAAUGUUUUCUUUGAGUGGCUCAGGAAUAUGAUACUCCAAAAUCCAAAAUUGGGGCAUAAUUUUUGAGGUUUCAAUAAAACCUCAAAAAUUUCACAAGUAAACAAUAUAUCAAUGACGUGCAAAAAAUGCCUUUCAUUCUAAAUUGGGGCAGAAAUUUUUGAGAAUUUCUCAAAAAUUUCACCAUGAUAAGUACAAGUUCCAACGGUCCAUGAAGCAGAAAUAAUGACCAAAGAGUCAAAUUGAGCAAGGUACGAAUCAACAUUUUUUUGACUAACAAUUUUUCUUUGUGUACAAACAACAGGUACUAAAUGCAACAACGAUGUUGUGAUAUCAUCAAAGAGGC